This 585-nucleotide ribosomal RNA is filed under the name uncultured bacterium. RNAcentral describes it as "partial 16S ribosomal RNA". It matches the Rfam family "Bacterial small subunit ribosomal RNA", at positions 355 to 937 of the family's 1533-position model. The record is from RNAcentral.
UGGGGAAUAUUGGACAAUGGGCGCAAGCCUGAUCCAGCAAUGCCGCGUGUGUGAAGAAGGCCUUCGGGUUGUAAAGCACUUUUAUCAGGAGCGAAACGCUGUCGGCUAAUACCCGGCGGAACUGACGGUACCUGAGGAAUAAGCACCGGCUAACUUCGUGCCAGCAGCCGCGGUAAUACGAAGGGUGCAAGCGUUAAUCGGAAUUACUGGGCGUAAAGCGUGCGUAGGCGGUUUCUUAAGUCUGCUGUGAAAUCCCCGGGCUCAACCUGGGAAUGGCAGUGGAUACUGGGAGGCUAGAGUGUGUCAGAGGGUGGUGGAAUUCCCGGUGUAGCGGUGAAAUGCGUAGAGAUCGGGAGGAACAUCAGUGGCGAAGGCGGCCACCUGGGACAACACUGACGCUGAGGCACGAAAGCGUGGGGAGCAAACAGGAUUAGAUACCCUGGUAGUCCACGCCCUAAACGAUGCGAACUGGAUGUUGUCUCAACUCGGAGAUCAGUGUCGAAGCUAACGCGUUAAGUUCGCCGCCUGGGGAGUACGGUCGCAAGACUGAAACUUAAAUGAAUUGACGGGGUCAUAGCUGUUUCC